UAGGGAAUCUUCCGCAAUGGACGCAAGUCUGACGGAGCAACGCCGCGUGAGUGAAGAAGGAUUUCGGUUCGUAAAACUCUGUUGUUAGAGAAGAACAGCGCAUAGAGUAACUGUUAUGCGUGUGACGGUAUCUAACCAGAAAGCCACGGCUAACUACGUGCCAGCAGCCGCGGUAAUACGUAGGUCCCGAGCGUUGUCCGGAUUUAUUGGGCGUAAAGCGAGCGCAGGCGGUUAGAUAAGUCUGAUGUGAAAGCCCCCGGCUCAACCGGGGAGGGUCAUUGGAAACUGGUUGACUUGAGUGCAGAAGAGGAGAGUGGAAUUCCAUGUGUAGCGGUGAAUUGCGUAGAUAUAUGGGGGAACACCAGUGGCGAAGGCGACUAUCUGGUCUGUAACUGACGCUGAGGCUCGAAAGCGUGGGUAGCAAACAGG
Molecule: ribosomal RNA, 429 nt
Filed under: Bacteroidota bacterium
Lineage: Bacteria; Pseudomonadati; Bacteroidota
Description: Bacteroidetes bacterium partial 16S ribosomal RNA
Rfam family: Bacterial small subunit ribosomal RNA
Source: RNAcentral